GCAAGUCGAACGCUGAAGCAUCCAGCUUGCUGGGUGUGGAUGAGUGGCGAACGGGUGAGUAACACGUGAGUAACCUGCCCCUGACUUCGGGAUAAGCCUGGGAAACUGGGUCUAAUACCGGAUAUGACUACUGGCCGCAUGGUCUAGUGGUGGAAAGGGUUUUACUGGUUGGGGAUGGACUCGCGGCCUAUCAGUUUGUUGGUGGGGUAGUGGCCUACCAAGACGACGACGGGUAGCCGGCCUGAGAGGGCGACC
This 255-nucleotide ribosomal RNA is filed under the name uncultured bacterium. Its description in RNAcentral is "partial 16S ribosomal RNA". It matches the Rfam family "Bacterial small subunit ribosomal RNA", at positions 57 to 305 of the family's 1533-position model. The record is from RNAcentral.